This 652-nucleotide long non-coding RNA is filed under the name Homo sapiens (human). RNAcentral describes it as "HSALNT0070305". The record is from RNAcentral. Lineage: Eukaryota; Metazoa; Chordata; Mammalia; Primates; Hominidae.
GCCAGCAGUGUGCAUGGGUCCUUACCCUGGCAGAACUUAAGGUCUGGUGGCAGAGGCAGCAGACAGACAGAGACUCAGAUGCAGAGUGAGCAACACUCUGGAAACCUAGAGGAGGUACUCUUCCUUCAUACUCAGGGACACUCCUCAGAUAAGUGCAGGAAGCACAGGAAGUGCAAAGGCCAGGGGGAAAGAGAACCAUGGCGCCUGCAGGGAUCUGCAUGCAUCUGAGCAAUAUUUGGGUGGAAGUUUACCGGAAGCCACAAAGGAGCAGUCAGAUGUUCUCACUGUAAGUGCAACAGCCACGGAUACCAACCAAUACAGGAAUGUGUUAUUGCAUUAAUGGUGAAAAUACUACAGGAGCCGUUGUCAUCAGAAAAUUUCAUAAUUUUCUAAAUUAUUGAACAACCCUCAGACCCAGAGGAAAGCACUGGGAGGAAUGAGAAAGUAGCGACUAGACAAAAAUGAAAACUCUUUAAGAAGCAUUGCUGAAGUUACAGGGGAAAAAGAUUAAGACAACUGAGGUUAAGGGCCUGACUCCAGAUCACACAGCAAGGGAGAUGGCAAAAUCAAGAUUUCAACCCAGGAAACCUGCCUCCCAUGCCUAUGUUAAUCACUACACCCUUCCCACAAUAAAUAAUCAAAUAAGCUAUUA